UGGGGAAUAUUGGACAAUGGGCGAAAGCCUGAUCCAGCCAUGCCGCGUGUGUGAAGAAGGUCUUCGGAUUGUAAAGCACUUUAAGUUGGGAGGAAGGGCAGUAAGCGAAUACCUUGCUGUUUUGACGUUACCGACAGAAUAAGCACCGGCUAACUCUGUGCCAGCAGCCGCGGUAAUACAGUGGGUGCAAGCGUUAAUCGGAAUUACUGGGCGUAAAGCGCGCGUAGGUGGUUCGUUAAGUUGAAUGUGAAAGCCCCGGGCUCAACCUGGGAACGGCAUCCAAAACUGGCGAGCUAGAGUAGGGCAGAGGGUGGUGGAAUUUCCUGUGUAGCGGUGAAAUGCGUAGAUAUAGGAAGGAACACCAGUGGCGAAGGCGACCACCUGGGCUCAUACUGACACUGAGGUGCGAAAGAGUGGGGAGCAAACAGG
RNAcentral lists this ribosomal RNA (429 nucleotides) under Pseudomonadota bacterium. RNAcentral describes it as "Proteobacteria bacterium partial 16S ribosomal RNA". It matches the Rfam family "Bacterial small subunit ribosomal RNA", at positions 355 to 776 of the family's 1533-position model. Lineage: Bacteria; Pseudomonadati; Pseudomonadota. The record is from RNAcentral.